GUGAAGCUACCGAACAGAUUGCCUACUAUGACUUACACAGCACAUCUGAACCGAACUGGUUCUUUUGGACAACUGAUUCUAUGCUAAUGUUAUGAGCGCAGUAACUAAGCUCCACUUA
Long non-coding RNA from Sinocyclocheilus anshuiensis, 118 nucleotides. RefSeq lists it as uncharacterized. NCBI's taxonomy places the organism in Eukaryota, Metazoa, Chordata, Actinopteri, Cypriniformes, Cyprinidae. The record is from RefSeq and is a predicted model, not a curated record. The transcript is spliced from 3 exons.